Molecule: ribosomal RNA, 374 nt
Filed under: uncultured soil bacterium
Lineage: Bacteria
Description: bacterial SSU rRNA
Rfam family: Bacterial small subunit ribosomal RNA
Source: RNAcentral
AGGACGAACGCUGGCGGCGUGCUUAACACAUGCAAGUCGAGCGGUAAGGCCUUUCGGGGUACACGAGCGGCGAACGGGUGAGUAACACGUGGGUGAUCUGCCCUGCACUCUGGGAUAAGCCUGGGAAACUGGGUCUAAUACCGGAUAUGACCUGCUCUCGCAGUGGGGGGUGGGUGGAAAGAUUUAUCGGUGCAGGAUGGGCCCGCGGCCUAUCAGCUUGGUUGGUGGGUAAUGGCCUACCGAAGGCGACGACGGGUAGCCGACCUGAGAGGUGACCGGCCACACUGGGACUGAGACACGGCCCAGACUCCUACGGGAGGCAGCAGGUGGGAAUAUGCACAAGUGGGACGAAAGCCUGAUGCAGCGACGCCGCG